GAUGAACGCUAGCUACAGGCUUAACACAUGCAAGUCGAGGGGAAACGAUAUUGGAAGCUUGCUUCCGAUAGGCGUCGACCGGCGCACGGGUGAGUAACGCGUAACCAACCUGCCCACCACUUGGUAAUAACCUUGCGAAAGUAAGACUAAUGCCCAAUUAUAUCUCUAGAAGACAUCUGAAAGAGAUUAAAGAUUUAUAGGUGAUGGAUGGGAAUGCGUCUGAGUAGCUUGUGGGCGGGGUAACGGCCCACCAAGGCGACGAUCAGUAGGGGUUCUGAGAGGAAGGUCCCCCACAUUGGAACUGAGACACGGUCCAAACUACUACGGGAGGCAGCAGUGAGGAAUAUUGGUCAAUGGGCGAGAGCCUGAACCAGCCAAGUAGCGUGCAGGAUGACGGCCCUAUGGGUUGUAAACUGCUUUUAUAAGGGAAUAAAGUGAGCCUCGUGAGGCUUUUUGCAUGUACCUUAUGAAUAAGGACCGGCUAAUUCCGUGCCAGCCGCCGCAGUAA
This 508-nucleotide ribosomal RNA is filed under the name uncultured bacterium. RNAcentral's name for it is "partial 16S ribosomal RNA". It matches the Rfam family "Bacterial small subunit ribosomal RNA", at positions 28 to 523 of the family's 1533-position model. The record is from RNAcentral.